This 183-nucleotide non-coding RNA is filed under the name Phocaeicola vulgatus. RNAcentral also lists the same sequence under 1 other name. The record is from RNAcentral. Lineage: Bacteria; Pseudomonadati; Bacteroidota; Bacteroidia; Bacteroidales; Bacteroidaceae.
UUUGCAGCUGUCCGACAAGGUGAAGUUAACCACUUCCAAGAGGGAAUGCCGUGAAAAUCAGCAACAGUACCCGCUGCUGUAAUUCUCGUAGAGCUGAAACAAUAUGCCACUACAAAACCAUUUGCGGGAAGGCGUUUUAAGGGAGAGAUAAGUCAGAAAACCUGCCUGGAAGGACAGCCAAGU